Molecule: long non-coding RNA, 338 nt
Organism: Equus quagga
Lineage: Eukaryota; Metazoa; Chordata; Mammalia; Perissodactyla; Equidae
Exons: 2
Source: RefSeq, a predicted model, not a curated record
CAGCCUCGCUCGUCCCAGUCUCAGAGCAGCUCCUCCACCUCCUCCGCCACCCAGGGUCCAGCCGGCAACCACCAUGGGGGGCCUCUGCUUCAUGCUGCUGACCUGCUUCAUCCUCUUUGCUCACUUUGGCCCAGCCCGGGUCCAGGGUGUAGACUCACAGAAGGAGUGCCAUAAAAGAGAUGCCGAUUGUUAUUUGUUUUCUUGCCCAGAGGCUCAUCAACGUCUUGGUACCUGUUGGUUUGGAAUAGGGAAAUGCUGUCUGCAGUGGGGAUGAGCUGAAGAACAGGGAGGACAAGGAGCCCAGAGAAUGAAAUAAAGGGCUGACUAUAACUCUUAAA